AGGAUGAACGCUGGCGGUCUGCUUAACACAUGCAAGUCGAACGGAGUAGCAAUACUUAGUGGCGGACGGGUGAGUAACGCGUGAGAAUCUACCUUCAGGACGGAGACAACAGUUGGAAACGACUGCUAACCCCCGAUGUACCGAAAGGGCAAAUAUUUAUAGCCUGAAGAAGAGCUCGCGUCCGAUUAGCUAGUUGGAGAGGUAAAAGCUCACCAAGGCGACGAUCGGUAGCUGGUCUGAGAGGACGAUCAGCCACACUGGGACUGAGACACGGCCCAGACUCCUACGGGAGGCAGCAGUGGGAAUUUUCCGCAAUGGGCGAAAGCCUGACGGAGCAAGACCGCGUGGGGGAAGAAGGCUCUUGGGUUGUAAACCCCUUUUCUCUGGAAGAACGCAAUGACGGUACCAGAGGAAUCAGCAUCGGCUAACUCCGUGCCAGCAGCCGC
This 446-nucleotide ribosomal RNA is filed under the name uncultured bacterium. RNAcentral's name for it is "SSU rRNA". It matches the Rfam family "Bacterial small subunit ribosomal RNA", at positions 26 to 518 of the family's 1533-position model. The record is from RNAcentral.